GACGAACGCUGGCGGCGUGCCUAAUACAUGCAAGUCGAGCGCAGGAAACUGACGGAACUCUUCGGAGGGAAGGCAGUGGAAUGAGCGGCGGACGGGUGAGUAACACGUAAGGAACCUGCCUCAAGGAUUGGGAUAACUCCGUGAAAUCGGAGCUAAUACCGGAUAGUUCAACGGACCGCAUGGUCCGCUGAUGAAAGGCGCUUCGGCGUCACCUUGAGCUGGCCUUGCGGUGCAUUAGCUAGUUGGUGGGGUAACGGCCCACCAAGGCGACGAUGGAUAGCCGACCUGAGAGGGUGAUCGGCCACACUGGGACUGAGACACGGCCCAGACUCCUACGGGAGGCAGCAGUAGGGAAUCUUCCACAAUGGCCGAAAGUCUGAUGGAGCAACGCCGCGUGAGUGAUGAAGGUUUUCGGAUCGUAAAACUCUGUUGUAAGGGAAGAACACGUACGAGAGGAAAUGCUCGUACCUUGACGGUACCUCACGAGAAAGCCACGGCUAACUACGUGCCAGCAGCCGCGGUAA
This 524-nucleotide ribosomal RNA is filed under the name uncultured bacterium. Its description in RNAcentral is "partial 16S ribosomal RNA". It matches the Rfam family "Bacterial small subunit ribosomal RNA", at positions 28 to 523 of the family's 1533-position model. The record is from RNAcentral.